This 236-nucleotide ribosomal RNA is filed under the name uncultured bacterium. RNAcentral describes it as "partial 16S ribosomal RNA". It matches the Rfam family "Bacterial small subunit ribosomal RNA", at positions 336 to 589 of the family's 1533-position model. The record is from RNAcentral.
CUCCUACGGGGCGCCGCAGUGGGGGAUAUUGCACAAUGGGGGAAACCCUGAUGCAGCGACGCCGCGUGGGUGAAGAAGCGCCUCGGCGCGUAAAGCCCUGUCCGCCGGGAAGAACAUGACGGUACCUGAAGAAGACGCCCCGGCUAACUACGUGCCAGCAGGCGCGGUCCUACGUAGGGGGCAAGCGUUAUCCGGAUUUACUGGGUGUAAGGGGGGCGCAGACGGCGAUGCAAGCC